This 161-nucleotide ribosomal RNA is filed under the name uncultured Streptococcus sp. Its description in RNAcentral is "partial 16S ribosomal RNA". It matches the Rfam family "Bacterial small subunit ribosomal RNA", at positions 355 to 507 of the family's 1533-position model. Lineage: Bacteria; Bacillati; Bacillota; Bacilli; Lactobacillales; Streptococcaceae. The record is from RNAcentral.
UAGGGAAUCUUCGGCAAUGGGGGCAACCCUGACCGAGCAACGCCGCGUGAGUGAAGAAGAUUUUCGGAUCGUAAAGCUCUGUUGUAAGUCAAGAACGAGUGUGAGAGUGGAAAGUUCACACUGUGACGGUAGCUUACCAGAAAGGGACGGCUAACUACGUG